RNAcentral lists this microRNA precursor (103 nucleotides) under Marmota monax (woodchuck). The record is from RNAcentral. Lineage: Eukaryota; Metazoa; Chordata; Mammalia; Rodentia; Sciuridae.
AAUGGGAUAGCUGGGACAUAUGGCAGUUCUAUUCCUAGUUUUUUGAGGAAUCUCCAUAUUGCUUUUCGGAGUGGUUGUACUAAUUUGCAGCCCCACCAGCAAU